Formica exsecta is the source of this 3938-nucleotide RNA transcript. RefSeq lists it as uncharacterized. NCBI's taxonomy places the organism in Eukaryota, Metazoa, Arthropoda, Insecta, Hymenoptera, Formicidae. The record is from RefSeq and is a predicted model, not a curated record. The transcript is spliced from 4 exons.
AAUAAUCUCAAUUUUCUAAUAAAUAUUAUCCCAGCAAACACAAAGUAACAGUAACAUAACAUCAAUGUUAUGUAACUGCAAUAUAACAUGCCUUGUACGUAACAGUUACAUUGUGGAGUGGGAAAUUAUGACAUUAAUGUUAUGUUACUGUACUUUGUGUUUGCUGGGAUAUAACGCGUGUGUUAAUAACUAGUGAUAAAAAUUAUUAUAUUCACAAUUUAUAAUCAAUAUACAUAGUCAAUAUACAUUAAUGUUACAUUUAUAAUCAUGUACGUAAACGUAUACGUGUUAUUUUCAUACAUUUGUCUUUUGCAUUAAUGUCGCGUUUAUUAAAUAGAAACUUAGCGUUCAAAAUGUUUCACGUCGUAAAACAAUCAUAUUUAAUUCGCAUAAUAUUUAAGAUAUGGGAGAUGAUGAGAAAAGUAUUGCCAGUGUCGAGAAAAAUGUCGGGAGUGUCGAGGAAAAUAUCGGGCGAUUUACGCGGAAAUAACGCACGUGUAGGCAGGACGCGGGAACACGUGCCGAUCGAUAGCCAAUGAAGUUGGCGCUUUCUGGAAAGUUACCUAGCAAUCGCCUAGCGUCGCUUUUUGCCGCGCGGCAAGAGUCCGUUACAAACGUCAGUGCAGUAGUGCAAACGUGUGACGCUAUCGUCGAAAAAAAUCCGCAUUGUUUAAACCUGUAUUAAUGGAAAUAUAUGGUAAUAAUUAUCAAUUUCUAAUUAUUGUCGGGCGUUGUUCUAAAAAUUCGCGUAAUAUCUAUGUUGCAGGAAGUUCGCGAGCGAUAAACGUCGGAAAAUUACGUAAAAACAGAGAUCGCGUAUAAACGUCGUGUAUAAAUAGAGAUCGCAUCGGGAGUGCCGAUUCAAAUACUCAACGUUUGCCGUUUAAUAACUGAUAUCGAACUUUUUGAAAUUAAAUUUUCGCGAGUGUGUGCCUUGUGAAAACCGGAUGAAUUCGCCAUCGACACAAAGGAGUUGGCAGAAUGACAGCAUUUUAUUGACAGGUGACAUCGCGCAAUGACUGGUCAGCAAUACGAUACGCUGAUGAACGGAUUAACCAAGGAUGAAGCUACCGCAACGACAUUUUAUAUAACUUCUCUAGUAAUUUAUGCGGUCACAAACGUCUUUCUGCGAAUAUUAAUGACCGGCUGCUGCGAAUUGGGAAGGAACUACAGCAAGAGUGCAGCAUUCAUGCAAGGAGAAGCGAAAUUACAAUCUCACCCUAGGAUAAUUAUCAUGACGAUGCAUGCGACGAGAAGAUGUUUGGAAAGGACCCCUGGACUACCUUUUCGAAGAACUCUUCAAACACCUCUCUUUCAAAUAUAAUCUGAUUUUGAAAAAAAUAGCGAUCGACUAGCGGUGAAUAAACCAGAUGAUGCAAUAUUAUGAAGAAUUUGUAUCUCUUCGCUAAAAAAUAUAAUUUUCAUGUAAAAACGAAACGCGAAUAAGUCCCUCGCACAUGCUUCCUUCUUUUCCGUAUAUUUCUUCAAAUUUUAUCAAUGUUUAGUAUUUCACAGAUUAUUCAAAUUAUUAUUCGUCGAUUUUACGCGAUUAACAUGUGCGCUGCUUCUUUACAUUUUCUUCCAUAUGAUUAAUAAAAUUAUUCAUUUCAUUUGUCGCUUUUAAGCCUUUUGUACUAUUUAAAUACCGUACUAGAAAAAAAUAUGUUUCCCGUUGAUUGUGUUCCCUUGUCUUCAUAUCAACUUUUUUUCGUCAUUUGGAAUGUUUUACAUAUCGUUACGAAGAUGAGGAUAUGAAUCAUUAGCUUAUUAGUUUUAUAUUAUCGACAUCUAUCCCGAAAGAAUUGCGUAUCAAAAUUAUGUGAGAAGCCCACGAUAUAUCCAAGUCAUUUAAAUUUAUAAAGAAAAUUUCUUGUAUCUAUCAUGUAAUUAUAUUGCUUUUAUAUGAAAAUAUUACGCAAAGUUGUGCCGAAUAUAUUUAAAAAAAUGUAAAACUUGUCGAAAGGAAAAACAUAAUAUUCUGAUUAAAUUGAUAGCUCAAACAUCACUGUUUGAUCGAUAUUGUCAAAAUAUUAUCGUAUUCACCGAUAUAAUUCUUUAGUAUUAAAUAUAAGCAUGCGUAUUAUUUUGCGAUAAAAAUCUGUUCUCCGAAUUAAUACAGCAUUGGCGAGCAUUGAUGAAUAUUCGUAAAGUGAUAAGAAGAUUCGGGAAACUGUCGAAAAUUUAUUCGUCGAGGACUGUCACGCCAUUCGUUUCGAUGCUAUUAUCGUUGCGAACUGGAACAAGGUGGAAGAUCCGCCAUAAUUUACAUUUUGCAUAUAGUUUCAAAUGAAUACGUGUAAAGCACACAUACAAAUGAAUUUUUAUCAAGAUUAUAUACUUAUAUAUUUUAGCAAUAUAUAAAUGUAUUUUUUAUAUAAGAGCAGAAAAAGCAAAAUUGAUAUUUUCGUGUUUUAGUAGAUUUAUAUUGAAAUUGUUGCUUUGGGUUUUGGAAUGAAAAAAAAACACACUUAUUUCAUUGCUUUUUCGAUAAAUUGCAACAUGCAUGCUGCUGGUAAAUGUGAAUAAUUUACAUUCUACGUUAUCUUAAUUAUAUCGCAUUAAUACAAUUACAUAUGCAUUAAUUAUUUCUAUUGGUAAACAAAAAUGUUGCAAAGUUUAUAUUGAUAUUAAAUAUAAUGUUAAGCUAAACGCGCUCUUAAAAAAUCAAAUAUACAUUAUUUAGUAAAGAGUAAGUAAGGUAAAUAUAUACCUAUAUUAGAGCCACAUAAAAAAUUUAUGAUUAGUAUACGCCACUCCAUAAAGUAAAUAUUACACUUAAUAUAGCACUUGAUAAAAUUUAAAUUAAUUACGAUAUUUCUCUGGUGCAAAAAAUCCUAAUUAAUUUCAAUUUGUUAAUUCAAUUGUAUCUACCAGGUACUUUGUAAUAAACAGGACUCGGGCAAUCAUCAUUGCUUAUGCCUGAAGAAUAAGACAUCAUUGUCUAUAUAUUUAAAGCACCACUUUCUGCACAUUUAUUUCCAAUCAAUGUGCUGGUAUAUUAAAAGUAAACAAUGCCUAGAGCACUCUAUUGGGUUUUAUCGCUCAGCAGUAAUUUUAACAGUCUCGGGCAUAAGCAAUAGUAACAUUCAAGUCCAGCUAUAAUAAGAUUACAUUAUCCACUUUAUAAUGAUAUAUGAUGUGGCUUUACAAGAGAAAUGCUUCAUCACUGAAUUCUAUUUGGCGUACUUUGUGAUCGACAUAAUUACUGCAUGAUUCUCUAAUAAUCAAUGAGGAAUGUCAGUGGCACAUAUUACGUAUGCAUAUGUAUAUAUACUUUGUGCGCAUUUUAACGUAUCGGUGAUAUACAACUAUCUUUCGAAUCUUUAAAAAUACAAUCAAGAAUUUAUCGGUUUCAAGAGAGUUGAUGAAAAAAUGUGUUGAUGAAAAAAAUAAACAUUUCCUAACAUUCUUUUUCCGAACCGUCUUAUCUAUGGAAUAUCACAGCGUACUUUUAUUCGAUUUCGUUAUUAUAAAGUUGCUUAUGAUAUACUAAGCCAAUGAAAAAUGUAUUCGUACACGUACUCACACACACACACACACACACGUAUACACAUAUAUAUAUACACACAUAGAAAGUAUAAAACUGACCUCAAAUAUAAUAUCGAUAUUUUACAUCUUUUUUCGAAGAAAGAAUACAGUAUACUCCCAAACGAGUAUAACGUAUCAAAGCUUUUCCUAAUGCUCUUUUCUCUAUCUCGAAUACCAUGAUAUAUAUUCGUUAAUAUCCAACUACGUCCAUCAUUGUUCAAGUGCGAAAAAAGCUUUGUUUUUAAAUCAUUUUUUUUAUUACAAUGUUCCAACAAUUUCAAAUAAUUUAUCCAAUUAAAGUAGCAAAGUCAGAUUCGAUCUACAAGCCUGCUUUCUUUGAUAAUAUUGAAAAUACAAAAUAAAAUGAAAAAAAAUAUAGCAAACCAAUUGAUGCAAUAAAAUUUUAUAUC